CCAGAGCUAGAUUUUAAAAGGUACCAUUUCUCUUCCCCCUGAAAUUCAGGCUACCCCAGAAUGUGUUUCUUGGUGAUUUCUGAUGCUUCCAUGAAUUAUACAUUGUUCAACGACUACCCAAGCCCCAACUUUAUUCCCACUAAUCUCAACCUCAAGAAUCCAUCCACAGACCAGGAGAGAGAAGAUGAACAGGUGUGUAAAGUGGGAGAUGGCUGGAAAGUCUAAACAUAUUUCUGGACCUAUGUGCAGAGUUGCCACAAAUUGAAAUCAAAUCAGGAUCCAUUAUCUACUGCAGGUAAGUGUAUCUGUGGACAUCACUUUUGGGCAGAAUAUUUAAUCUUUGUGACUAUUGGUAU
RNAcentral lists this long non-coding RNA (356 nucleotides) under Chinchilla lanigera (long-tailed chinchilla). RNAcentral's name for it is "lncRNA (ENSCLAG00000026983.1)". Lineage: Eukaryota; Metazoa; Chordata; Mammalia; Rodentia; Chinchillidae. The record is from RNAcentral.